Molecule: ribosomal RNA, 253 nt
Filed under: uncultured bacterium
Lineage: Bacteria
Description: partial 16S ribosomal RNA
Rfam family: Bacterial small subunit ribosomal RNA
Source: RNAcentral
UACAGAGGGGGCAAGCGUUGUUCGGAAUUACUGGGCGUAAAGGGCGCGUAGGCGGCCUGCUAAGUCGAACGUGAAAUCCCCGGGCUCAACCCGGGAACUGCGUCCGAUACUGGUUGGCUUGAAUCCGGGAGAGGGAUGCGGAAUUCCAGGUGUAGCGGUGAAAUGCGUAGAUAUCUGGAGGAACACCGGUGGCGAAGGCGGCAUCCUGGACCGGCAUUGACGCUGAGGCACGAAGGCCAGGGGAGCAAACGGG